UGCCAGCCGCCGCGGUAAUACAGAGGGUGCGAGCGUUAAUCGGAAUUACUGGGCGUAAAGGGCGCGUAGGUGGCUACGUAAGUCGGAUGUGAAAGCCCCGGGCUUAACCUGGGAAUUGCAUUCGAUACUGCGUGGCUAGAGUAUGGUAGAGGAAAGCGGAAUUCCGGGUGUAGCGGUGAAAUGCGUAGAUAUCCGGAGGAACAUCAGUGGCGAAGGCGGCUUUCUGGACCAAUACCGACACUGAGGCGCGAAAGCGUGGGGAGCAAACAGGAUUAGAUA
This 279-nucleotide ribosomal RNA is filed under the name uncultured bacterium. RNAcentral's name for it is "partial 16S ribosomal RNA". It matches the Rfam family "Bacterial small subunit ribosomal RNA", at positions 506 to 784 of the family's 1533-position model. The record is from RNAcentral.